This 240-nucleotide unclassified non-coding RNA is filed under the name soil metagenome. RNAcentral describes it as "partial contains 5.8S ribosomal RNA, internal transcribed spacer 2, and large subunit ribosomal RNA". The record is from RNAcentral.
AACACUGUUAACCUGCGGUACCUGCGGAGGGAUCACUAUCGAGUUCUGACCGAAAAGGUCGACUCCCACCCUUUGUGUACUCUAACCAGUUGCUUCGGCGGGCCGAUUGCUUAGCGACCAUCGGCUUUCCAGCGGGUGUGUGUCCGCCGAAGGACCUUUUAGAAACUCUUUGUUUUUAGGUUGUCUGAGAUUAUAUGAAAAAAGUUAAAAACUUUCAACAACGGAUCUCAGAUCGGAAGA